This 1360-nucleotide ribosomal RNA is filed under the name metagenome. RNAcentral describes it as "bacterial SSU rRNA". It matches the Rfam family "Bacterial small subunit ribosomal RNA", at positions 8 to 1374 of the family's 1533-position model. The record is from RNAcentral.
AGAGUUUGAUCCUGGCUCAGAUUGAACGCUGGCGGCAUGCCUUCACAUGCAAGUCGAACGGUAACGCGGGGCAACCUGGCGACGAGUGGCGAACGGGUGAGUAAUACAUCGGAACGUGCCCAGUAGUGGGGGAUAGCCCGGCGAAAGCCGGAUUAAUACCGCAUACGACCUACGGGUGAAAGCGGGGGAUCGCAAGACCUCGCGCUAUUGGAGCGGCCGAUGUCAGAUUAGGUAGUUGGUGGGGUAAAGGCCUACCAAGCCGACGAUCUGUAGCUGGUCUGAGAGGACGACCAGCCACACUGGGUCUGAGACACGGCCCAGACUCCUACGGGAGGCAGCAGUGGGGAAUUUUGGACAAUGGGCGCAAGCCUGAUCCAGCCAUGCCGCGUGCGGGAAGAAGGCCUUCGGGUUGUAAACCGCUUUUGUCAGGGAAGAAACGCGCUGGGCUAAUACCUCGGCGUAAUGACGGUACCUGAAGAAUAAGCACCGGCUAACUACGUGCCAGCAGCCGCGGUAAUACGUAGGGUGCAAGCGUUAAUCGGAAUUACUGGGCGUAAAGCGUGCGCAGGCGGCUUUGCAAGACAGAUGUGAAAUCCCCGGGCUCAACCUGGGAACUGCAUUUGUGACUGCAUGGCUGGAGUGCGGCAGAGGGGGAUGGAAUUCCGCGUGUAGCAGUGAAAUGCGUAGAUAUGCGGAGGAACACCGAUGGCGAAGGCAAUCCCCUGGGCCUGCACUGACGCUCAUGCACGAAAGCGUGGGGAGCAAACAGGAUAGAUACCCUGUAGUCCACGCCCUAAACGAUGUCAACUGGUUGUUGGACGGCUUGCUGUUCAGUAACGAAGCUAACGCGUGAAGUUGACCGCCUGGGGAGUACGGCCGCAAGGUUGAAACUCAAAGGAAUUGACGGGGACCCGCACAAGCGGUGGAUGAUGUGGUUUAAUUCGAUGCAACGCGAAAAACCUUACCUACCCUUGACAUGCCUGGAAUCCUGCAGAGAUGUGGGAGUGCUCGAAAGAGAGCCAGGACACAGGUGCUGCAUGGCCGUCGUCAGCUCGUGUCGUGAGAUGUUGGGUUAAGUCCCGCAACGAGCGCAACCCUUAUCAUUAGUUGCUACGCAAGGGCACUCUAAUGAGACUGCCGGUGACAAACCGGAGGAAGGUGGGGAUGACGUCAGGUCAUCAUGGCCCUUAUGGGUAGGGCUACACACGUCAUACAAUGGCCGGUACAGAGGGCUGCCAACCCGCGAGGGGGAGCUAAUCUCAGAAAACCGGUCGUAGUCCGGAUCGCAGUCUGCAACUCGACUGCGUGAAGUCGGAAUCGCUAGUAAUCGCGGAUCAGCUUGCCGCGGUGAAUACGUUCC